GAUGAACGCUGGCGGCGUGCCUAAUACAUGCAAGUCGAGCGAACAGACGAGGAGCUUGCUCCUCUGACGUUAGCGGCGGACGGGUGAGUAACACGUGGAUAACCUACCUAUAAGACUUGGAUAACUUCGGGAAACCGGAGCUAAUACCGGAUAAUAUCUUGAACCGCAUGGUUCAAUAGUGAAAGACGGUUUUGCUGUCACUUAUAGAUGGAUCCGCGCCGCAUUAGCUAGUUGGUCAGGUAACGGCUUACCAAGGCGACGAUGCGUAGCCGACCUGAGAGGGGGAUCGGCCACACUGGAACUGAGACACGGUCCAGACUCCUACGGGAGGCAGCAGUAGGGAAUCUUCCGCAAUGGGCGAAAGCCUGACGGAGCAACGCCGCGUGAGUGAUGAAGGUCUUCGGAUCGUAAAACUCUGUUAUUAGGGAAGAACAAAUGUGUAAGUAACUAUGCACGUCUUGACGGUACCUAAUCAGAAAGCCACGGCUAACUACGUG
This 497-nucleotide ribosomal RNA is filed under the name uncultured bacterium. RNAcentral describes it as "partial 16S ribosomal RNA". It matches the Rfam family "Bacterial small subunit ribosomal RNA", at positions 28 to 507 of the family's 1533-position model. The record is from RNAcentral.